GACGAACGCCGGCGGCGUGCUUAACACAUGCAAGUCGAACGGAAAGGCCCUGCUUUUGUGGGGUGCUCGAGUGGCGAACGGGUGAGUAACACGUGAGUAACCUGCCCUUGACUUUGGGAUAACUUCAGGAAACUGGGGCUAAUACCGGAUAGGAGCUCCUGCUGCAUGGUGGGGGUUGGAAAGUUUCGGCGGUUGGGGAUGGACUCGCGGCUUAUCAGCUUGUUGGUGGGGUAGUGGCUUACCAAGGCUUUGACGGGUAGCCGGCCUGCGAGGGUGACCGGCCACAUUGGGACUGAGAUACGGCCCAGACUCCUACGGGAGGCAGCAGUGGGGAAUAUUGCACAAUGGGCGGAAGCCUGAUGCAGCAACGCCGCGUGCGGGAUGACGGCCUUCGGGUUGUAAACCGCUUUCGCCUGUGACGAAGCGUGAGUGACGGUAAUGGGUAAAGAAGCACCGGCUAACUACGU
RNAcentral lists this ribosomal RNA (467 nucleotides) under uncultured bacterium. Its description in RNAcentral is "partial 16S ribosomal RNA". It matches the Rfam family "Bacterial small subunit ribosomal RNA", at positions 28 to 506 of the family's 1533-position model. The record is from RNAcentral.